CCCCAGACUCCUACGGGAGGCAGCAGUGGGGAAUAUUGCACAAUGGGGGAAACCCUGAUGCAGCGACGCCGCGUGAGCGAUGAAGUAUUUCGGUAUGUAAAGCUCUAUCAGCAGGGAAGAAAAUGACGGUACCUGACUAAGAAGCCCCGGCUAACUACGUGCCAGCAGCCGCGGUAAUACGUAGGGGGCAAGCGUUAUCCGGAUUUACUGGGUGUAAAGGGAGCGUAGACGGCAGCACAAGUCUGGAGUGAAAGCCCCGGGCUUAACCCGGGAACUGCUUUGGAAACUGUACGGCUGGAGUGCUGGAGAGGUAAGCGGAAUUCCUAGUGUAGCGGUGAAAUGCGUAGAUAUUAGGAGGAACACCAGUGGCGAAGGCGGCUUACUGGACAGUAACUGACGUUGAGGCUCGAAAGCGUGGGGAGCAAACAGGAUUAGAUACCCUCGUA
This 446-nucleotide ribosomal RNA is filed under the name uncultured bacterium. Its description in RNAcentral is "bacterial SSU rRNA". It matches the Rfam family "Bacterial small subunit ribosomal RNA", at positions 329 to 792 of the family's 1533-position model. The record is from RNAcentral.